RNAcentral lists this ribosomal RNA (253 nucleotides) under uncultured Acidobacteriota bacterium. RNAcentral describes it as "uncultured Acidobacteria bacterium partial 16S ribosomal RNA". It matches the Rfam family "Bacterial small subunit ribosomal RNA", at positions 524 to 776 of the family's 1533-position model. The record is from RNAcentral. Lineage: Bacteria; Pseudomonadati; Acidobacteriota.
UACGGAGGGAGCAAGCGUUACUCGGAAUUAUUGGGCGUAAAGGGCGCGUAGGCGAUCCUGUAAGUCUCGUGUGAAAUCCCAGGGCUUAACCCUGGAAUGGCAUGAGAAACUGCUGGAUUUGAGUUCCGGAGAGGAAGGCAGAAUUCCCGGUGUAGCGGUGAAAUGCGUAGAUAUCGGGAGGAAUACCAGUGGCGAAGGCGGCCUUCUGGACGGAUACUGACGCUGAGGCGCGAAAGCCAGGGGAGCAAACGGG